RNAcentral lists this long non-coding RNA (1123 nucleotides) under Cercocebus atys (sooty mangabey). Its description in RNAcentral is "lncRNA (ENSCATG00000045419.1)". Lineage: Eukaryota; Metazoa; Chordata; Mammalia; Primates; Cercopithecidae. The record is from RNAcentral.
UGCUGUGCCUGAGUCUACCUUUACUAGCCGUUACCGGCCUCCGUUCCCCUCCCUAGCGGCGCCUGCCCCGCCUUGCAUUCCCAAGCUCCGCCCCCCUUGCCCCUAGCGGCUGUUUGUUGACUUCCGGGAGCGCGGUUGUCCGUUGAUUCGCCAGGCGGAACUGGGGGGCUUUUGCGGCCGGCGUCGGGGCGGAGUAGCUGCCUUAGCCCCGACCAAACCGUCCUCUACAGCCUCCUGGCCCAGGCGCAGGCUGCCCGUACCGCCCUUGGCAUGAAGGAGCCCGAAGAGCCGUUGCCCGAACGCUGGAGGUUCCUUGGAAAAACUGGACCAGAGAAAAUCCAAAUUGACUGAUAGAGACUCUCCCCAUAGAUAUCCUGAGUGAAGUUAAUGAGGAAGCUAAGUACUGUCCUGUUUUUGUGUUUCGAGAAAAGCUCUCAGUCAGAGGCCAGACCAUGAGGUGUUAACCAGAGCAAGACUAGCACAAAUUGUACCAUUUCAUUCCAGGGAAUAGACAUCUACUUGGUGACAGCAGAACUAUUAGUAAUAGAUGACUGCCUUCCUUGUGAUAGUGUAUUUCUUACUUUGUGCCAGUAUAUGAGUAAUACAUGUUCAAUCUAGUAGAUUUCAGAGGUAAAACUAUAAUGGAGUCUGAGGAAUAAGAAAGACUGAAUUAAGGUGGAAGAAGGAAGGCUUAAACAUUGCCAGAGUGGGGGCAAAGCUGUCAUGAAACAAGAGGUUUGUAUGGAUAAUUACUAAAAGGUAUUUAAAUAACAGGCAACAUAAGUUAAAGUUAUAAAAUAGAGACCAUCUUAUAUUUGCAGAUUCGGGUGCUGUGUUUACAUUUGGGAAAAGUAAAUUUGCUGAAAAUAAUCCCAGUAAAUUCUGGUUUAAAAAUGAUGUCCCUGUACAUCUUUCAUGUGGAGAUGAACAUACUGCUAUUGUUACCGGUUAGUAUUACAAUCCUGAAUGAGGACAGUAAUACUUAGAAAAUUCUAAAUAUAAUGUUAUAGAUACGCUGCUGUGUUUUAAACAUGUUGAAAAUAUAUCAUAAAAAAGCAACAUCUCUAAGUGAUUGGCAUAUGGGCUGCAAAAGAUGACUGCUAUGAUUCUUGGUCAUCCACAG